UAGGGAAUCUUCCGCAAUGGGCGAAAGCCUGACGGAGCAACGCCGCGUGAGUGAUGAAGGUCUUCGGAUCGUAAAACUCUGUUAUUAGGGAAGAACAUAUGUGUAAGUAACUGUGCACAUCUUGACGGUACCUUAUCAGAAAGCCACGGCUAACUACGUGCCAGCAGCCGCGGUAAUACGUAGGUGGCAAGCGUUAUCCGGAAUUAUUGGGCGUAAAGCGCGCGUAGGCGGUUUUUUAAGUCUGAUGUGAAAGCCCACGGCUCAACCGUGGAGGGUCAUUGGAAACUGGAAAACUUGAGUGCAGAAGAGGAAAGUGGAAUUCCAUGUGUAGCGGUGAAAUGCGCAGAGAUAUGGAGGAACACCAGUGGCGAAGGCGACUUUCUGGUCUGUAACUGACGCUGAUGUGCGAAAGCGUGGGGAUCAAACAGGAUUAGAUACCCUGGUAGUCCACGCCGUAAACGAUGAGUGCUAAGUGUUAGGGGGUUUCCGCCCCUCAGUGCUGCAGCUAACGCAUUAAGCACUCCGCCUGGGGAGUACGACCGCAAGGUUG
Molecule: ribosomal RNA, 550 nt
Filed under: uncultured bacterium
Lineage: Bacteria
Description: bacterial SSU rRNA
Rfam family: Bacterial small subunit ribosomal RNA
Source: RNAcentral